Molecule: transfer RNA, 90 nt
Filed under: Felis catus (domestic cat)
Lineage: Eukaryota; Metazoa; Chordata; Mammalia; Carnivora; Felidae
Rfam family: tRNA
About the family: Transfer RNA (tRNA) molecules are approximately 80 nucleotides in length. Their secondary structure includes four short double-helical elements and three loops (D, anti-codon, and T loops).
Source: Rfam by way of RNAcentral
ACCUGGGUGGCUCAGUCAGUUGAGCAUCUGACUUCAGCUCAGGUCAUGAUCUCACGGUUCAAUUCGUGGGUUCAAGCCCCUCCUCAGACU